Non-coding RNA from Rattus norvegicus (Norway rat), 668 nucleotides. NCBI's taxonomy places the organism in Eukaryota, Metazoa, Chordata, Mammalia, Rodentia, Muridae. The record is from RefSeq and is a predicted model, not a curated record.
UACUAAUGGAAAGACUGAGAUGAUGAAGACUCAACUAGAAACACUUCUCUCUCCCAGAUAUCAGUAUCAGACAAAAACUGCACUAUAGGCAUCCAGAGCAUGGUGGAAUUUACUCUGAGGCGAGGACUCAAUACUUGUCUUUCCAUUCUUCCUUAGGACCAUUUUCUUCUUGACAAAAAGAAUAAGGCUAUGAGAUCUCAGCAAAACAACUGUGCCCUGCCCAUCACUUGGCUUUGGAAUAAAAAAAAAUAAUGAUAUAAACUCUUUGACUUCCAGGAAUGAUAUGAACAGGAACUGUAAGAGCAGGAAGUCCAGAUGCUUCUGAGAGGACCCCAGCUCCUAAUUCCCAUUUGUAGACGGCUCAGAUCAAGACAAUCUCUUCAUGAAACAACUCAACACCUACUAAGGACUCAGAGAGCUUUCCCAAGGACCUUUUUUGUACCAAGACAGAAGGACCAAAACCAUCAGCUUUAAAGAAAACUGUGCCCUUCCCAACACUUGGCUUUGGAAAAAAGACAUGAAUGAUAUAAAUUCUCCGACUUCCAGGAACCAUAACUAGCAGGGAAGUCCAGAUGCAUCUGAGAGGCUCCCAUCUCCUGAUUACCAUAUUUGGAAGGCUCCAAUCAAUACUAUCUUUUCAGCAAACCUUCUCAACCACUACCCAGAAA